UACGGAGGGUGCAAGCGUUGCUCGGAAUUAUUGGGCGUAAAGGGUAGGUAGGUGGUCUCGUUUGUCUGAGGUGAAAGCCUUGAGCUUAACUCAAGAAGUGCCUUAGAAACGGCGAGACUAGAGGUCUGGAGAGGGUCGUGGAAUUCCCGGUGUAGCGGUGAAAUGCGUAGAGAUCGGGAGGAACACCAGAGGCGAAAGCGGCGACCUGGACAGAUACUGACACUCAACUACGAAAGCGUGGGGAGCAAACAGG
This 253-nucleotide ribosomal RNA is filed under the name uncultured bacterium. RNAcentral describes it as "partial 16S ribosomal RNA". It matches the Rfam family "Bacterial small subunit ribosomal RNA", at positions 524 to 776 of the family's 1533-position model. The record is from RNAcentral.